GAUGAACGCUGGCGGCGUGCUUAACACAUGCAAGUCGAACGAAGACAUCUGAGUGCUUGCACUUGGAUGGACUGAGUGGCGGACGGGUGAGUAACGCGUGGGUAACCUGCCUUAUACAGGGGGAUAACAGUUGGAAACGACUGCUAAUACCGCAUAAGCGCACGGUAUCGCAUGAUACAGUGUGAAAAACUCCGGUGGUAUAAGAUGGACCCGCGUCUGAUUAGCUAGUUGGUGAGGUAACGGCCCACCAAGGCGACGAUCAGUAGCCGGCCUGAGAGGGUGAACGGCCACAUUGGGGCUGAGACACGGCCCAAACUCCUACGGGAGGCAGCAGUGGGGAAUAUUGCACAAUGGGGGAAACCCUGAUGCAGCGACGCCGCGUGAGUGAUGAAGUAUUUCGGUAUGUAAAACUCUAUCAGCAGGGAAGAUAAUGACGGUACCUGACUAAGAAGCACCGGCUAA
RNAcentral lists this ribosomal RNA (462 nucleotides) under uncultured bacterium. RNAcentral's name for it is "bacterial SSU rRNA". It matches the Rfam family "Bacterial small subunit ribosomal RNA", at positions 28 to 500 of the family's 1533-position model. The record is from RNAcentral.